RNAcentral lists this ribosomal RNA (506 nucleotides) under uncultured bacterium. RNAcentral describes it as "partial 16S ribosomal RNA". It matches the Rfam family "Bacterial small subunit ribosomal RNA", at positions 28 to 523 of the family's 1533-position model. The record is from RNAcentral.
GAUGAACGCUAGCUACAGGCUUAACACAUGCAAGUCGAGGGGUAACGAGAGGAAAGCUUGCUUUCCUUGUCGACGACCGGCGCACGGGUGAGUAACGCGUAUCCAACCUGCCCCCAACUAGGGAAUAACCUUGCGAAAGUAAGACUAAUACCCUACAAUUUCCUCAGAUGUCAUCUGACGAGGAAUAAAGAUUUAUCGGUUGUGGAUGGGGAUGCGUAUGAUUAGCUUGUUGGCGGGGUAACGGCCCACCAAGGCAACGAUCAGUAGGGGUUCUGAGAGGAAGGUCCCCCACAUUGGAACUGAGACACGGUCCAAACUCCUACGGGAGGCAGCAGUGAGGAAUAUUGGUCAAUGGGCGGAAGCCUGAACCAGCCAAGUAGCGUGCAGGAUGACGGCCCUAUGGGUUGUAAACUGCUUUUAUACAGGAAUAAAGUUAGCCACGUGUGGUUAUUUGUAGGUACUGUAUGAAUAAGGACCGGCUAAUUCCGUGCCAGCCGCCGCGGUAA